This 497-nucleotide ribosomal RNA is filed under the name uncultured bacterium. RNAcentral describes it as "partial 16S ribosomal RNA". It matches the Rfam family "Bacterial small subunit ribosomal RNA", at positions 28 to 507 of the family's 1533-position model. The record is from RNAcentral.
GAUGAACGCUGGCGGCGUGCCUAAUACAUGCAAGUCGAGCGAACAGACGAGGAGCUUGCUCCUCUGACGUUAGCGGCGGACGGGUGAGUAACACGUGGAUAACUUACCUAUAAGACUGGGAUAACUUCGGGAAACCGGAGCUAAUACCGGAUAAUAUAUUGAACCGCAUGGUUCAAUAGUGAAAGACGGUUUUGCUGUCACUUAUAGAUGGAACCGCGCCGCAUUAGCUAGUUGGUAAGGUAACGGCUUACCAAGGCAACGAUGCGUAGCCGACCUGAGAGGGUGAUCGGCCACACUGGAACUGAGACACGGUCCAGACUCCUACGGGAGGCAGCAGUAGGGAAUCUUCCGCAAUGGGCGAAAGCCUGACGGAGCAACGCCGCGUGAGUGAUGAAGGUCUUCGGAUCGUAAAACUCUGUUAUUAGGGAAGAACAAAUGUGUAAGUAACUAUGCACGUCUUGACGGUACCUAAUCAGAAAGCCACGGCUAACUACGUG